This 497-nucleotide ribosomal RNA is filed under the name uncultured bacterium. Its description in RNAcentral is "partial 16S ribosomal RNA". It matches the Rfam family "Bacterial small subunit ribosomal RNA", at positions 28 to 507 of the family's 1533-position model. The record is from RNAcentral.
GAUGAACGCUGGCGGCGUGCCUAAUACAUGCAAGUCGAGCGAACGGACGAGAAGCUUGCUUCUCUGAUGUUAGCGGCGGACGGGUGAGUAACACGUGGAUAACCUACCUAUAAGACUGGGAUAACUUCGGGAAACCGGAGCUAAUACCGGAUGAUAUUUUGAACCGCAUGGUUCAAAAGUGAAAGACGGUCUUGCUGUCACUUAUAGAUGGAUCCGCGCUGCAUUAGCUAGUUGGUAAGGUAACGGCUUACCAAGGCAACGAUGCAUAGCCGACCUGAGAGGGUGAUCGGCCACACUGGAACUGAGACACGGUCCAGACUCCUACGGGGGGCAGCAGUAGGGAAUCUUCCGCAAUGGGCGGAAGCCUGACGGAGCAACGCCGCGCGAGUGAUGAAGGUCUUCGGAUCGUAAAACUCUGUUAUUAGGGAAGAACAUAUGUGUAAGUAACUGUGCACAUCUUGACGGUACCUAAUCAGAAAGCCACGGCUAACUACGUG